This 372-nucleotide ribosomal RNA is filed under the name uncultured bacterium. RNAcentral's name for it is "bacterial SSU rRNA". It matches the Rfam family "Bacterial small subunit ribosomal RNA", at positions 29 to 426 of the family's 1533-position model. The record is from RNAcentral.
AGCGAACGCUGGCGGCAGGCUUAACACAUGCAAGUCGAACGGGCGUAGCAAUACGUCAGUGGCAGACGGGUGAGUAACGCGUGGGAACGUACCUUUUGGUUCGGAACAACCCAGGGAAACUUGGGCUAAUACCGGAUAAGCCCUUACGGGGAAAGAUUUAUCGCCGAAAGAUCGGCCCGCGUCUGAUUAGCUAGUUGGUGAGGUAACGGCUCACCAAGGCGACGAUCAGUAGCUGGUCUGAGAGGAUGAUCAGCCACAUUGGGACUGAGACACGGCCCAAACUCCUACGGGAGGCAGCAGUGGGGAAUAUUGGACAAUGGGCGCAAGCCUGAUCCAGCCAUGCCGCGUGAGUGAUGAAGGCCCUAGGGUUGU